Molecule: transfer RNA, 69 nt
Filed under: Sciurus carolinensis (gray squirrel)
Lineage: Eukaryota; Metazoa; Chordata; Mammalia; Rodentia; Sciuridae
Also listed under: 1 other name
Rfam family: tRNA
About the family: Transfer RNA (tRNA) molecules are approximately 80 nucleotides in length. Their secondary structure includes four short double-helical elements and three loops (D, anti-codon, and T loops).
Source: Rfam by way of RNAcentral
GGAGUUGUGGCUCAGUAGUAGAGUGCUUGCCUAGCAUGUAUGAGGCACUGGGUUCAAUUCUCAGCACCA